This 468-nucleotide ribosomal RNA is filed under the name uncultured bacterium. Its description in RNAcentral is "partial 16S ribosomal RNA". It matches the Rfam family "Bacterial small subunit ribosomal RNA", at positions 28 to 507 of the family's 1533-position model. The record is from RNAcentral.
GACGAACGCUGGCUGCGGGCUUAACACAUGCAAGUCGAACGGAAAGGCCCUGCUUUGGUGGGGUGCUCGAGUGUCGAACGUGUGAGUAACACGUGAGUAACCUGCCCUUGACUUUUGUAUAACUUCAUGAAACUGGGGCUAAUACCGGAUAGGAGCUCCUGCUGCAUUGUGGGGGUUGGAAAGUUUCGGCGGUUGGGGAGGGACUCGCGGCUUAUCAGCUUGUUGGUGGGGUAGUGGCUUACCAAGGCUUUGACGGGUAGCCGGCCUGAGAGGGUGACCGGCCACAGUGGGACUGAGAUACUGCCCAGACUCCUACGGGAGGCAGCAGUGGGGAAUAUUGCACAAUGGGCGGAAGCCUGAUGCAGCAACGCCGCGUGCGGGAUGACGGCCUUCGGGUUGUAAACCGCUUUCGCCUGUGACGAAGCGUGAGUGACGGUAAUGGGUAAAGAAGCACCGGCUAACUACGUG